CCCGCUGAACUUAAGCAUAUCAAUAAGCGGAGGAAAAGAAACCAACAGGGAUUGCCUUAGUAACGGCGAGUGAAGCGGCAAAAGCUCAAAUUUGAAAUCUGGCUUCCAUUUUUGGGGCCCGAGUUGUAAUUUGUAGAGGAUGCUUUGGGUGUGGCUGCGGUCUAAGUCCCCUGGAACGGGGCAUCAUAGAGGGUGAGAAUCCCGUCUGGGACCGCUAGCCACGUCUAUGUAAAGCUCCUUCGACGAGUCGAGUUGUAUGGGAAUGCAGCUCUAAAUGGGUGGUAAAUUUCAUCUAAAGCUAAAUAUUGGCCAGAGACCGAUAGCGCACAAGUAGAGUGAUCGAAAGAUGAAAAGCACUUUGAAAAGAGAGUUAAACAGCAUGUGAAAUUGUUGAAAGGGAAGCGCUUGCGACCAGACUCGGCCGCGAUUGUUCAGCCGGCUUUGUGGCCGGUGCACUCUUUUGCGGUCGAGCCAGCGUCGGUUCUGACGGUUGGUUAAAGGCUUUCGGAAUGUGUCGUCUCUCGGGGCGUCUUAUAGCCGGGGGUGCAAUGCGGCCUGUUGGGACCGAGGAACGCGCUUCGGCACGGACGCUGGCAUAAUGGUCGUAAGCGACCCGUCUUGAAACACGG
This 629-nucleotide ribosomal RNA is filed under the name uncultured fungus. Its description in RNAcentral is "eukaryotic LSU rRNA". It matches the Rfam family "Eukaryotic large subunit ribosomal RNA", at positions 24 to 664 of the family's 3401-position model. Lineage: Eukaryota; Fungi. The record is from RNAcentral.